This is a non-coding RNA of Prunus mume (Japanese apricot), 479 nucleotides long. NCBI's taxonomy places the organism in Eukaryota, Viridiplantae, Streptophyta, Magnoliopsida, Rosales, Rosaceae. The record is from RefSeq and is a predicted model, not a curated record.
UGAAGAAGGUGUUUACGCGAACGAGUGCACCCGAGAUUGGUGGUGUCCAUGGCCAAUACAUCGUGUGGAUGUUCCACAACAGGCUAAUCAAGGCGAUUGUGGUAUGUUCGUGUUGAAGUACAUUGAGCUGUUGAGUGCUGAGAUUUCCUUAGCUACUUGCACCUCGCAGAACAUGCCAUUUUUUCGGUUGAAGUUGGCUGCAGAAAUUGCACGGGGAGAUGCUUACAUGCCAUGAUAUCGGUUGAACUUGGUUUAGGCACAUGAUGAUGAAAUAGGUUUUGGGAAUGUCAAAUUUCAAAGUCAUGUAAAUACACAAUAGAGACCCAUGGGUCCUUUUCGAAUUCCACCUCUGCUCCUGAAUUCUUCUUCGUCUUUCUCAAUCUUAGUGUAUUUGUGUACAGAAAUUUAGAUUUAAGUUACUGGACAAUAACAAUUAGAACCAAAAUAGUGGCAAAUAUUAUAGCGGAUGCAUGCUUUCA